ACAUAUGUGUAGUGUAACUUUAGUUGAUUUGCUUGUACAUAUCCCCUUGUUUUUCAUAAUUCACUGAAGUAGCAUAUUAGAUUGCUGACCAUGGAGAUUUUACCUGACAAAAGAAAAAUCUUCUUAAGAUUUGUACUACUCGCUAUGAAGUAUCUGCAAUGUCUCGGUGCUAAUGGAGAAUUAUAAGAUGGAAAAAAGGGGGAAGGAGGUUUAGUUUGUUGUUUGAGCAUUAUUUUCAUCGUGGUGUUAGCAUUCCGCCAAAUGAACUUCCAUGUUUCCCCAACUUUUGUGAGCUUUUCUCUUUUAGUUUGUUUUCUCUAGAAUUGUCAGCAAAGUUAAAUAGGCAAAUCGAUAGCUGAAAUUAAAUUUGUCUCAACAAGUACGUAUAGAAAAAGACUACAUGAAUUUGGUCCUUUUGAAACAUUAUUGCUGCAAAGUUUGUUCAUUUUGUUCUGAUUCUUAUCUGUCUCAUAUUGUAUUGAAGAAAACUCUCUCACGGCUAGUGAGGAAGCAUAAUCAUGAGAAUUGUUAAAGAGUUGAAUUGUGACUUUGUUCUAGCGUUUCAAUUUCCUUUAGUUUUUUUUUUCCAAAAAGGGACUUGUACUCCAGAUUUGAAUGAAAGUUUAGUACUUCUUUUAAGAGUGAUAGGCUCUCAUUUGGUGAAUGUUUUUGGAUAGUUUAUCAGUAGAUAUUUUCCCACUAAGCAUGUUCGUUAAAUUUAAAUUUUGAGUUUGAGUGAAAAACUAUUUUGCCUGUGCGUGCAUUUCUUUUUGCUUAUUGCUCUAAGCUCACUAGAUAUCUAUAUUUGCUUACAACUUAAUUUAUUUAAUUUUUAAAAUAUAAAUAAAUUUUUGGUGUUCUCUUUCCACUUGGUAUAUUUAACGGUGCCCACAAUGAUAUAGGUUCGGAUCAUUGACAUUUAAAGCCCCUAAUGUAAGAUAUUCAUCCAUAGAUUUGACUUACAUUGCAUACGUAUAUCUGCCUCUCCAAGACAAAGGAGAAAAUAAAGCAGAAAACCUACCCGAUGUAAUUUGUUUCUAGAGAAUAGAUGUGUUUAGUCGGGCUCUUUGUCUGCAUUUGCAUUUAGCUUCUCAUUCAUUACCGAAGUAUCAUUUGAUAUCAACGUAUAUUUGCACUAGAAAGCUAUAGAUUUCUUACUCUCUAUUGUGAAAUAUUUGAUAUUCGGUACCAGGUAAUGGCUAAUAGCCAAAUUUGCAUGCAAAAUUUUAUAUCCUUCGCAAGUGGAUUGAUAAUCUAGCAUGAGUGGAGUAUCUGACGGUAGAUGCAUAUGACUGGAGUGAAGACGUUUAUAAUGUACAUGUGUUGUCUUAAAAUUGAAAAGAAGUGUUGGAUGCACAUGUUUAUUUUACUGCUAUCAUUUCACAUACUUAAUUAUGCAAAAAAUAUAAAGUUGGAAGGUAUGACUUAUUUGUAUUUUCAUUUGAAUUGAUGUUGUGAAGUUUGUUAUGACGUAGUAUUAUUUUUAUGACCUUCGCUUCGAUAUUAGAGAGAAUUAACUCAACACGUGGUAUUUUGCAAUCAUUUUGAUAAUGAGGAAGAAAAUGAUGUGAUGAGCUUGAGCUUGAUCAAGGGAAGAUGGAAAUGGUUGUCGAUGAUUGUUUGGAGAGGGAAGAUGGAAGUGGUUGUUGAAGGUAUGUUUAGAGAAUUCUGCUUCUCCAAAAGUUAAUCACAUCUUGUGGAGUACAAUCACAGCUUCUUCAUUAUUUGUUACAACAUUUCUUGAAUUUUGAUUGAGAUGGUAAGAAAAGUCGUUUUUGUAGUAAUGCUAGUUACUUUAUAAUGUAUCGAUUCGCGAUUAUGUAGCAUAACAUAAAUGAUCAGUACUUGAAGAAUAGCGACUGAAUGUGCUUUAUAUGUAGAUAUUUUGAAGUGCACUUUUGAUAUCUGCACCAUGAUAUUUAAUUGCUCAUUUAUGUU
Solanum lycopersicum (tomato) is the source of this 1938-nucleotide long non-coding RNA. RefSeq lists it as uncharacterized. Lineage: Eukaryota; Viridiplantae; Streptophyta; Magnoliopsida; Solanales; Solanaceae. The record is from RefSeq and is a predicted model, not a curated record.